AUAGUGAAAUUGAAGCAUGAGCACGAUGCACCAGCAAUAUUCUGGCCUGUGUAAAAAGACUGGGAAAGACAGUGAUGUUCAUUUAAUUGGUCAGAUGCCUAUCUCCUCAACGGCUGAAAUUAUGGGAUUUCUAUUCAAAUGCAUUGUGUUUUCAUUUUGCCAGUCCACCAGUAUUGUUCUUGUGGAAGAAAGCACCUAUCUUGGGUUAGUUAGCAAAUGGCUAAACAAUCCUGCAUAAUCAGUAGCAGUGACCAUCACCAAGAGCUGGCUUGCUCAUCUGCUCACCUGUAUAAUUGAUGCUGGAAACAUUCAGUCUUUUAAAAGCUUGGAAAAACAAAUGUAACUUGUCAAGAUGCCAUUACAACAAUGAGGCUCUACAGAUCUAUCAUUUUUUUUAGUCCUGCACAUUGUCGUUUAUUCAAGACUUUUCACUGUCAAAACACGGGGCCAUACAACUGAUUUAAUGGAAUUUAGUUAUUGAUAGGAUACGUAAUUUCUAUGUAAAUAAUGAUGUAACCCUCUAGAGGGUGGGCUACAUAUACUGUUUCCAGCCACAGUUUUUACACAAUCUUUGGAUACUGCCUUUGUAGCUGGCGUAGCUUGCAGAAAAAAAUGUGUGUCUCCAAUUCCAGCAUUAGCUAGAGUGAGGCCUAAAUUAUGGCUCUGUUUUCCUGUUUGGGCCCUGCCACACACCAGGGAGGAAUAAAAUCUUGCUAACAAGGUGGAGAUUUGGGCUGAAAGAGACAGCACACAUAUGCUAUCUUGUGCUACAAUGUUGCUAGAAAUAGUUCACAGUUCUGAUUAAAUAGCUUUGAGGUACAGAGUUCUAAAAACAUCCGGAUUUUUCCUGUUUUUAUUUUUUAUUUUUGCUAAGGGAGCCAUGCUCAUAGUGAAGAGAUUCUUUGCAUAUGCUGGGUGUUGCAAAGCAGGGAACUGGGCUGCCUUAAAUUUACGUAGAUGCUUAUAUCCUUUGGUCAAACCUCAUCUGGAAUACUGUGUCCAGUUUUGGGAAUCAUGAUUCAAGAAAGAUAUUGAGAAGCUGGAACGUGUCCAGAGGAGGGCACCCAAAAUUACCAAUGGUUUGGAAGCCACACCAUGGGAUUAGCUUCUUAAGGACUGGGCAUAUUUAGUUUUGAGAAAAUAAGGCUGGAGGAGACAUGAUACUUUGGUUAAAUAUGUGAAAGGAUGACAUAUUGAAGAUGGAGCAAUUGUGGUUUUUGCUGUUCCAGAAACUAGGACAUGGAGCAAUGGAUUCAAACUUCAGGUAAAGAGAUUCCUCCAGACUAUUGGGAAGGAAAAGUAUCCUUACUCUGAUAGUAGAGACUGUGUCUUUUUAUGUCUAGAGGCAGUAAAUGCCACAAGAAAUAAAAUAUAGUAAGGAAAACAGUUUUCUGUGCACCAUUCAAGGAAGUCUGAUGAAGAUGAGCAGAGGCAUAAAAGCAAUGUCACAAACAUUCCCAAAUUCACCACAAGAAGCUACCUGUCAAAUAAUGCAAGUUAAAAAAUAGAAAUGUAAAAUUAUGCAAGUCUAGAUUCCUAAACAUUGUUAGACCUGAAAUAUGCUGCCUUGGAGUAUGGUGGAGUCUUAAACAGAGUCUGGAUGACCAUCUGUUCAGAGUGCUUAGAUUAUGUAGUCCUGCAUGGCAGAGGUUGGACUGGAUGGCUCUUAUGGUCCUUCCCAACUUUAUGAUUCUAUGUGAUGGGGAAACAUGUUCAUUCAUCUUUGCAUUCAUGAUUACAGAUAUUGUUCAAUUGAAACCAACAGUUAAUUAAAUGUAAAAAUUAUUAAGCAAAAAAGCUGAUGAUUGUGAUUUGGCACCAUAAACAUGGUUGAUUGAAUGACAGAAUUAUAAGAGUGAAUCAUUCAAAACUCCUUUCUUCCUGAAGUUACAAGCAGAUUCGUUUUGCUUUGCUCUGCAUUUGUUUUUAAAACAUGCUAAUGUGGAAGCAAUGAUUUCAAAAGUUGCAGUCAAUGGACAGGUAGAUGUGAUGGGAUGGAGACUAUAACCCGUAGACAUUUCUUCCAUGUUAGGAAAACUCCAUCCGCCAAUAGGAACUAAGAAGAAUUAUUGGCUAUCAAGUUGAUGAUGAACAGAAAAGAGCAAAUGAUGAACAAGAAUGGAACAGAACUGAGUUUGAUCCAUUGUCUGUAUGAAACAUGAAGAAACCAGGGAAUUAAAAAAGGGGGUUUGCAUUGAAUAUGGAAGUACUUUGGGGUUUGAUAUGACUUUAAUUUACAGCAGCCAUAUGGUGAAGAACAAAAUAUAGGAAAAGUCUGUUAUAAAAGAAGGAGAUAUUUUGCCUAUCUAAGAACAGCCUCAAGGGAGAUUAUACUAAGAAGUCUAUAAAGAUGACACUAGUCAAAUUUUCCUCCCAGACGAGCAGAAAACAAGUACAUUCAGAUUUUUCUUUCCUUCUUUCCCACCCCACCCUGCCUUUAGGGAAAACUAGGUGUGUGUUUUUAUAUUAUCCUGAAGGCUUAGGUUGCCUUUUCAUUAAGUAGUAUGAUUGGCAUAAGUUUGGGGAAACCUUCUUGCAAGGCUUAAUUCUAUACUCUCAGGACAAUACUAAUAUUUUCCAAAUGCUACAGCUGGCAUCAUCUUUCUCAGUUAGCUAAGAGUUGUCCAUUGUAUUGGCUAGUCACCAGAUUUAUGGUCCUUCCCAAGCAGACGGAAAUGCUCAUUUUUUCCAGUUUUCCAAGUGGUAAUAAAAUAUUUGUCAUUGAUCUUAGUUCCAACAUCCCUUGUAUGUCUGACACAAGCCAAACCUCCUCACAGUUAUCGAAAUUGUGAUGUAUUUUGAAAGUCUAAAUCUUCUUUCAGACAAAUACAAAGUGCUGUUGUAUUGGAUCCAAGAAUCCAACACAUAAUAGAGAUAUUUCAAAACAUCUCAAAGGGGUAAAAUUGUAUGAGGUGUUACAGUAAAGACGGGCAAAGUGUGACUCUAUUCAUCUCUCCCACUCACUGUUUCGACCCAUCCAGAUCCCAGAAACGAACCCUUUUCUGGCCAAAAAAUAAAUAAAAGAUCAUCUCAAAGAGCAUCUUUUCCCUUUCAAAUAGAUGGCAGUCCUGCCACUCAAAAUUGAAAAAUUGAAAAUUGCUUUAAACUUCUGGUCAUUUCCAGAGUUUGGGGGGGGGGAGAAUGUCUUUUGAAGGGGGCCAAUUUUGACAAUCUUCUUAACUUACCCAGAAAUCUUGGGGACGAAUAUUGUUCCCUGAAGCUGCUGCUUUUGCCCAUUCCUAUUUUACAGGGACAUCUGGUCUGGAAGUGAUGCAACCACUGUUUUUGUAUUUCCAUCCACCCAUCCAUCCAUCCAUCAAUCUCUUUUUUAUAACACUGAGCAGCCACAGUAAAGGACCCCUAACCCGUUCCCACCAGGAAUACUUGUAAAGAUGUAGGCAUGGGUAAGAGCAAUGGUAAUCUUUCUUUGCACACUGGGACCCAAGCUGCUUUACAAAAUAGAAUUACAAUGAAAAUGAAAGGUAAAGGUAAAGGUUUUCCCCUGACAUUAAAUCCAUUAACUACUGGGGUUGGUGCUCAUUCCAUUUCUAAGCCAAAGAGUCAGCGUUGUCUGUAGGUGCCUUCAAGGUCAUGUGGCUGGCAUGACUGCAUGGAGUGCUGUUACCUUCCUGCCAAAAUGGUACCUAUUGAUCUACUCACAUUUGCAUGUUUUCGAACUGCUAGGUUGGCAGAAGCUGGGACUAAUAGCAGGAACUCACCCUGCUCCCCAGAUUAGAACCAGCAACCUUUCAGUCAGCAAGUUCAGCAGCUCAGUGGUUUAAUCCUCUGUGCCACCAGGGGCUCCUUGAAAUGAAAAUACAAUGAAAAUGCAUGUGAUUUUAAAAAAAAACCAGAAUUUUGAGAUUAAAAAAGUAUUUAAUUAACAACAAAAUCAGUUUAUUGGCAGAAGUCGUCAACAAAAUUCCAGCAGUUAACAGUGACUGGAGACAGAAAUGCAGUCUAGUAUCUCUACAAAGUGUCUGAUCAGAUAUUGACACUAGGCAAGGAUACUAGUGCUGUUAAGCACAACAACAGAAAAGUCGAAAGGUGAAUGUAGAUCCAGCAGAAUGACUUCAGACUGUUGAACAGUAAUACCGGAAUGUUUUAAACGGUGCACUCUUCUUGCAGGUGGAGUGUGGAGUCCAGUCCCAGAACCCUAACAAGUGAGAAUGUGAAAAGGCUCACCAUUCUAGUAGAGUCUAGUGAUUAGCCUUUACAUAAAAACAUAUUUUAAAAUAAAUUGAACAUUGCAAUUCUGCAAAAAGCUGGGGGUGACCCCCGUUGGCAAAUGAAUUGUGAUACCAAUGUUCAGCUGCCACAGUCAUUGCUGAUUAGGGUUCCUAAAGCCUCAAGUCUUUUCUAUAGUCUUCAAGGUAAGAAACUUCAGCGUGAGAGGAUGAUCUUGAAAAGAGUUUUCUGCAUCUAUUCAAAUGUGGGCAAUGCCAUUUGAUGACACAUGAUGAGGCGAGAGCCAGCAUGAUGCAGUGGUUUGAAUGUUGGACUCAAACCCCAUGAUUUAAAUUCUUACUCAUGCAUGGAAACUGCUUGUGUGACCUCAGAUAAGUCAUAUUCUCUUAGUCUCAAGGAAGGCUAUGGCAAAACCUUGUCUGAAAAAAUCUUGCCAUGGGUUUGCCUUAAGUUCAAAACAACUUGAAGGCAUACAAUAAGAACAAUUCCACCUAAUGACAUCAGCAGGGGCUGUCCGUUCUAAUGUCUCUCUUGCAAAAUCCUCCUAGCAUCAUAAGGAUUUGUCAUUAGGCCACUGUUUUUAGCCACAAAAUUUUAGGGAUAGUCCUGAUCUAGCAACCCUAUUGCUGAUCAGCCUGCAAGAAAGUCAGCCCACCUUCCAAUCUUUGUGGCCCAGUUAUUUCUUGAAUUUCCCACACCAGAAAACAAAGUUCCUUCUGCCAGAAUAGGGAAGAUCAAUGUAGUCACAUCACUUCCUGAGUAGAUAGUUCUAAUUUGGUAUAUGUAAGGCAAGAGUGCAAAACCUUUAUCUAUAAAAAUAAACCAGGUCACAUCCAAAUAAGAAUAUUUUUUUCCAACAGGUUAUCAAAUGGUGAAGCUUUUCCAUAACAGAAUGUUCAUGCUCUAAAGCAAUGAUUCCUAAACUACAGUCUUCGAAGUGUUUUGGACAUCCAAUGACAGGGAUUUGAGGAGCUGAAGUCCAAGGCCCCUUCUACACUGCUAUAUAAUCCAAAUUAUCAAAGCAGACAAUUCACAGUAUAGAUGGGGCCCAAAUCACGUUGAAAACUAGAGUUUGUGAAACACUAAUCCAAAGGGCUUUCCUUGUGUAGAACUUCUAUGGCUACAAAGUUUUUAAGGGUACAAGUCCAUUGUUGUCCCAACACUGUCAUGAAAAAAACUCAAUUUUCCAUGAGUUUUAAACUAAUUAUGUUUCAGAAUUUCUUGUAUAUAUUGUUCUUACACUGGGAAUACUAUGUUUAGUAGAAGAACAGACAUGGUAUAUUAGAUGGGUGUAUGAAAACAGAUUUAAGAUUUACCACAACCAUGAUUCAAAUGCCAUUAAAAAUCAGAUUAAAAUGUUAAAAUAAUAUUUUCCUAGAGCACUUGUUCGGGUUAAGAAACAGUAGCAGCAGAAUAAGUAUAGCAAUGGUAUCAAUGCACACCAGUCACUCUCCUCUUGAUUUUUAGCAAAAGGGAUAUUAGCCUUUGACAUAAAAUAUAUCCAUUUAAAUACUUGCAACAGGAACAGGUCCCACAUGGUAGCCCCCACAAUUGGUGUUUAGGCAGCCAGUGAUAACAUUCUAAUUCUGCUUGGCUUUUAACAGUUUUCAGAUCCAAAGGUUUGGCUGAGCUCCUUUUCACUUUAGCUUUCCUUUUUAUUAUUUGACACUGUUUUAUUCUUUCAUGUAAACUACUCUUGAGAGCCCUCAUUUCAGCUGAAAAAGCAGUAUCAAAUGCUGAAAAUAAAUCAAUACACAUUUAAUGCAAUCUCCCCCUUUCAACGCUAGCGUGAGUGAAUGAACUUACACUAAAAAAAACUACAGAGGAAUUGCAGGGGCUGACCCUGAAGGAAUGCUGUUGUCAUUUCCAAAGUGUGCCUAAUCUCACAUUUUAGUAGAUGAGGACACCAGGAUACAUGAAUCAGGAUACAGCCUACACAGCAAGCAAGCUGCCAGGAUAGAGGAGGACAAAUAUGCAUAUAUAUAUCUCUCUCUAACACUUGGACUGCCUCUGGUGUCGCUAUAAGCAGGUCCUCGAUUGUGCAUGUGGCAGGGCUCAGACUGCAUUGUAGUAAGUGAUCUGUGGUUUGCUCUUCUCCACCCUCGCAUGUCAUGGGCUCCACUUUGUAGCCGCAUUUCUUAAGGUUAGCUCUGCAUCUCAUGGUGCCAGAGCAUAGUUUGUUCAGCACCUUCCAAGGUCAGUUGGGGAGGACCAGUCCCCUCUAUUCUCCCUGUGGCAGUGCUGCUUCUUACCUAGACAGGGAAGUGGUAGCAGCUCUUUGGCAAGGAGAGUGGAGGGACCUGGUUGAUGCAUUUUGGGGGAUCUCCUGGGACAAUGUUAGUUUUUGCCAUAGUCAGUCCUUGGAGAAACUGAAAAAGGCCGAAUCUCCUCCACCCUCCCCUUUGUGCUGGAGGUUUUUAGGUGCUUUGCUGCUGCAGUAGGGAGAAAAGGGGAAAGAAGAAACUGAAAAAAACAAUUCCAUCCUACUCCACUCUUCCCUUCAUGCUGGUGGCUCUUUGGCACUUCGCUGCCAGGAUGGGGACACUAGAAGUGGUCAAGAUAAUCUGAAAAAAAUCUGAAGCCUCUCAGGUCUCACCUUAUUUGGGGAGUUAAAGCAGGGUGGGAGAACUUGGAAAAAGUUCAUUUUGUCUGCAUGUGUUACAUUUCUUUAUCUCUGUAAAAUGAGUUCUAAAAUUUUUACCCUUGACUGAUCCAUGGGUCAUAUCAAAAUCCAUAAUUUUGACUCCCAAACCUGCUAUCGACUUAGUUGUAAGGUUAAACAUAUACACAAGUAUAUGCAGGCUACAGCUUCCACAACCUUUUAGCCGGCAUAGUCAUACUGGCAGAUGGAUUCUCAAAGAUAUAGCCCAUCCAGCCUGUCACUUAUGAGACAUUAUCUGAAUGAAUACAAUCAUCUUGUUUUCUAAAUGCCAUAUGAAACUAUAUGAAACUGAUGUUUUUGUAUUUAUAGCAGUUGCUUUCAAAUUUCAAUUCCGCCAUAGCACCUUAGUAACAAAUGGCAACUAUUCUUGCAUAUUCAGGAAAACCCAUUUUGGAAAUACAAAGGUCUGAAUCCAAUUGCUAGUGACAGUAUAGCAUAGCUCCAAUGUAAUGGGAAUGUGGGGAAAACUGUCAUAUAACAUAGAUAUGUGACACUUUGAUUAUUCCACUGUUGUCCAAGAAGCUGCAUAUUGGGCACCAAGGCCUUGAGCACUAUGCAAUGAUAGAUUACUUUCCCACCUAAGUCAAUUGUGUGUGUAUGUGUGUGUGUGUCCUUACAAAAGGUUGCAUUAGGGGCAAAAUGUACAAAACCCCUGAUAAUACAACUAUUUGCAUAAUCUAUUUUCACUCUAGCCUAGUCCUCCACCAGGAGUCCCAUCUUGGUAACCCACACUUAUAUAAAUUACAUUAAUUCAAGAGAGUUAUUUUAGUUGAGUGUAUUAAAUAGGGAUCUAAUGACCUCAUCAGAUGCAAAUCCUCCCAUUUCCAUACAAUUAUAAGACAUUUCAGGGACCAAGUGCCAUAGAGCCCUUCACACAAUAUAAAACUACUUCUGGUUGACAUCUGUUGUACUUCGUCCCUGAAAUGUAGUAGAAUUGUAGAGAAAGGGAAGGGGGGGGGACAGGAGAUGGGGAGAAACCGUCUUCUGAGUUCCCUAUGCACGGGAGAAAAGGAUCAUGGCAAAGUGGUUUAUAAGAACACUUGUCUAAUGCAAGGCAGGAAGCUAUGGGAAAGACAGAUCAUGGCAAAGGGGUUUACAGUUCUGCCACUUUCCUCCUCAAAUGGAAUAAGGUCCAUAGUAAUCUUGGCUUUUGAUAUUGAAGUUUUCCCUGAUUAAAAAAAAGAAUGCAGAGUGGGUGGGGACUGUACUUACUCAUGUGAUGGCUCAGAAUGUGGGACAGAAUGGGAGAAGGCCAGAGAACAUAAAGCGGGAUGGGAUUUGUAAAACAAAAUGAUGUCUUUUUAAAGGGAAGGAGGUGAUAAGCUUUGCUAAGAAGACAACACUUUCUGCAAUACAUCUCAUGACGUCCUAAGAAUCAACAUACAUGCGAUGUUUCACUUUCUGAGCUGAUGAUGGAGCUUAUUCACAAUCUGUAACAGAAGGCAGACAGCUCUAGCUGAAUUGGAUCCUUACCUUUUGGUGUUGUCACAGGAACUGCAUAGUUCCCAUAUGAACAGGAAGUCUAGUGAUGCAAACAAAUCCAUUUUUCCUCUGUACAUUUCAAUGACCAUUUUCUAAACCUGAAAAUAUCCACCCACAUCAAGCCAUCUGCACAUGAGCUUAUUCUGGCUCAAGCCUUUUAAGGCCAAAGCAGAAGCCUCACUAAUUAGUCCUAAACAGUUCAGCUGUGUUCCUGUGGGAACUUGUCCCAUCUAGAAACCAGGCAAAAGCUGCUGCUAGUCAGCUGAUGAGUGGUCAGUGGGAAUAACCCAGAAUGGCUGAGGCUUUGGGGUAUAAAACUCAAGUUGGCCCACUGCCUCUUUUGUCCUGCCUUAUAUGUUGUCUCUAUUUAUCUGUGCCUUAUGGACUACUAUUGGAUUAUGAUGUUUAUUUUCCUGGUCCCUGGAUCCCACUCUAUUGAGGCCCAUGUGCUAAUAUGUUUAGGUUUAAUUAGCUUUAUUGUUUUUGGCCUGUUUGUAGUUUUCCCAAAUGUUCCACUGGUUCUUGUUUCUUUUAUUCCUGUUCCUGGUUGCCUUGUAAGUAAACCUCCUUCCUUAUGCAGCUGUGAAUGUAUUUCCCUCCAAAUAGCCUCAUAUAUACUACAGAAUUGCAGCACUGUUAUUCCUCUUUAACAGCUAUGGUGCCAUCCUACAGGAUCCUUGGAAUGGCACUUAAGAAAAGGCUCUCUAGUGCUUCACCCAACGGCUAACUCCAGGAUUGUAGAGCUAUAAUUGUGCAAUGUGAAAGGACUACUAGGGGGAUGAUGAUGAUGAUAAAUUUAUUACCAGCUUCUACUCGCAGCUCAAGGAGGUUAACAACACUGUCAAAACAAGAGAUAAAGCACUACUAGAACACAUACUACAAGAUAGUAAGGAUUGUCAACCCUAAAUCAUUGUUGAUCCCUGUUCAGAAGAGGAAUGGAGAUAAUGCCCACAAAUGGAAAUGCAGACUGCUUUUGCUUUUUGCUGGUUACAAUUAGACUUGUGCCCAAAGGGGAGAAAAACGAUUUUCCUGAUAACAAGGAAGAGCUCCAUUCUAAAGAUGAUAGAAUACUUCAAAUGUCUGACUUUGGCAGUGAAGCUGAAAACAUAGGGAAAUUACUAUUGGUAAUUAUGACACUUUUGUAAAAAAAAUGUACUAGACUUUAUGUCUAUUGCUAAUUUAAUGCUGUUGUGGUUGAAUCAAGUAGCAUGUUUUAUUGAACUGAACAUGUUCCAUUGCCUUUGUGUUUGGCUUCAAAAGGUGCAGCGGAGGUGCCAUAUGCCAAGAAAAUUUUCAUUUUAUAAACAUGGUGCAAAGAUGACGCUUGAGAUAAUAUGGGGAGACAAUAUUCAGGUAUUGUGUGGACAGUGUAGAGAGAUUUUUAUUCUACUUGUCUGGAGAUAAAAUAGGAGAGUCCUGUCAAUUCGAUGAAUAGCAGUGCGGGAAAAAGAAUUACUCAGAAAUAAAGAAGACAAAGAGUUGUCACUGAAUUUUGGAUAUAAAGAUGUUGAAAAUAAUAAACAGCUUCCUAGCAUAAAUUGUAACAAACCAGUUCAUUUAUCUCAACUGCUAUUAUGCUGCUAUGAAUACAGUGCUCGACAGCUUUUAGAAAAAACAACAACAGUGUUUUAAAGAAACACUGUUAGAUGAUGAAAACUCCUUAAGCAGCCCAAUUCUCACUUUGAAAUAUGCAUUUGUUUUCUGAGCGUAAACAUUAUUCAGUUUAAAUAGCUAUCAUGGUGCAAUGGAAAGUGACAAAACCCAGCAAAUCAGAUUCAGACUUGAUUUUAGCUCACACUGAGCAUUGAUUCAAUAUAUAGGUUGGCGGUGGAUUUCUCUGAGAGCCAAAACAUGCCUGUGUUGAAAUUUCUAUUUUUCAAAGCAAUGCAAAUACAUGAUUUAGGGAUGAACUACAUCACUCCACAUCUGUGUUCCAAGGUUUCUGCCAAUUUAUAUCACAGCUCUUAUUAAUGGAACUUAAUGACAUUCUGCCACAGUGAAGUCCAAAAGAGGGCUUCUGAUGUGUGUAAAUUGGCCAGAAGAUGUGGUUAUGGAAUAACAUUAAAAUAUGGAAUAGAGGGCACCGGGACCUCAAAGUCUUCUGUGAGGUCAACCUCAUGCUUUCCAAGGGUGCGUUGAGAUGGUAGCUGCUCAUGGAACAAUGUUUAAUGGGGUCGUGUGAUUUGGGUAAACUGCGAUCCGUUUCAGUGACCUGGAUUUUGGAGGGGGCCCCGAUCCAUUUUUCAGGAGCUUUCCAAAUACGGGAGGACAUAAAUCCAUUUUUGAUUGGGGAAGCCAAAAGAUUUGUUUUCAAUCUGGCCCAUGGGAGGACUUCCCAUCAUUUUAGACAUUGUUUGUCCUUAUAUUCUUCAUUAAGAACUGGAUUAAAAGCACCAGAAUUAAGAUACCACUCUUUCUGGGAUUAUUUGUCUUUAUGGCUUUCAUUAAGACCUGGAUUGAAAGCAUCAGAGUAAGGAUACCACUCUUACUGCAAUCCCUUUCCUUCUGUUUUUCAAGGAGUCCUGCAUUCAAAGCAAGGGCUUAAGAGACCCCCUUUCCUGGAAUUCUUUCCCUUCUGUCUUUCAAGGAGACAUGGAUUUAAGGGCAAGAGCUUCUGAAAUCCUUCCCCUUCUAGCUGCUGUCUCCCUCCCUGCACUCCACAUGUUGCUGAAAGAAACCAAAAGCAGCCAUUUUUCCACAACCACUGUUCUGUUGUGGCUAGAAAAAAAUGGCAGUGGAGCCCAUGCAGUUACAGCCAUCCGGAUCCACAAGCCGGAUCCACUGGACCAGCCGAAGACUGCUUUUGAAAAGGAAUCCUUGCACAACCCUAACCUUUAAAUACUUGAUUAAAAAAAAUAAAACCCCACCUAAGACAAAAAAAAAACCUGAGUCAAGGCUAUGCCUAGGAUGCAUCUAAACUGUAGAACUGAUUCAUUAACUGCCAAGGCUCAAUACUGUGGAAUCCUGGGAGCUUUAGUAUGGUGAUGCAUUAGCAUUCUUUUUUACAAAGAAGGCAUCAGCACUGUCUUGCAAACACUGCAAAAUUACAGUUCCCAUGAUUCCGCACUGAACUAUAGCAGUUAAAGUGGUGUCAAACCAUAUUAAACCUCUAUUGUAGAUGAACCACUAGUGCUGUAUGGUAAGUGAAUACAGACAGCUCUCCAUAUCCAAAGAUUCUGCAUCCAUGGGUUCAACCAUCGACAGCUUGAAAUAUUUUGCCAUAAGGGUCAGCAGUUUACUACUCUAUUGUAAAUAAUGGGAUCUGAGAAUCCAAAGAUUUUGAUAUUUAUCGUGUCUGUGUCCUGGAACCUAAUACAGUAGAUACCAAGAAUCUGAUGUAUUUAUAUGAAUCCCAUUGAAUCAAUGUAGUCAACAAAUUGACUUUAGGACUUUGUCUAAAAUGAAACAAGCCCCUCUUCGAUUUUAAAGUUUCUCUUAAAUAUUUUUUUCAAAAUCACACAUUUGGCACAACGCAUAUGACAUGUGUAAGUAAUAAUGCAUUUAGUGGAAAAAUGCACAUACAUUCCCAUUAACACAAAUAAUGUCAAUAGUAAGCUGAGCCCCCAAGGGAUUGUAUUUUAGAAAAAUGCCACCAACUGCUGAUGCACUGAGAACAUGGUUUUCAUUUUCUCUUUUUUAAAAUAAAAACACCUCUUUCUGUUUAAGUUUGGCUAUGGACAGCAAAGAUAUAUAGCCAAAAAUGAGGCUUUUGGUACAAAAUUAAAUUGGGAUGAGGGUUUUACUGCCCCUUUUACAACCACAGCAUAUUGGAAAAUGGGCUCUUACCAAAAUACCAGCAAGAGAAAAUCGGUGAUUUGUUCCAGCUUUCCUUCUGGGAAGACAUUCUUUACAUGUGCUAAUUGCUUUUAAGUUAUAUUAUUUUCCAAUAAGGAACACAAGUGAUUCGAUGUAAGCAACGGCUGUGUAGAGGAUCUUUCAUUAUGUACAGAGGCACAUGAAAAACUGGGUCAACAUUUUCAUUAAGACCCGCCAUUUCCACCAGUUUAUAAGUAUGCCAUAAACACUCUUGCCAAAAUGCAGCUCUACAUCUUAGACAGUAUAUUUUUUCCAGUUAGUAAGAAACUGUGCUAUAGAACUGAGCCGGCAACAGAUAGCAGGGCUGUUCCACCAGAAUAGUUAUUUGCUUAAUCCAUAAUUCACUCAAAGAGGAGAGCAUUUUGUGAUUAUGCAGCAGAAUCCUGGUUCUGCAGAUUUAGAUCCCAGUUAUUGUUCUGCAUCAGGUUUAUGGAUGUCUUUGGGCCAACUCAGUUACCCUUUUCGCAUCUUCUUCGCUUUGUCUUGAAAGUGAUAAUGGCAAUACAACAGCCACAAAACAGAGCCCUAGAGGAUAGGUUAUGAAUAUUUCACAGGGCAAUAUUAGCCCUUCAAAUGCUGUUAGAGUACAGUGUUUCUCACUGAAAUGGCCACAGCAAGGAGUUUUCUUUGACUUCCUCUGAACCUAAUAGAGAAUUGUUUGAUUGAAUAAAACCAAAUUGGUUCCAAAAAUGCUACACACACACACACACACUGCAAUGCCACAUUAAUGACUCUAAAAUCAGAAGUACCUCCCUGGCAACAGCUUAUCAUAUCAUUUGCAAAGAAAAUCAAAUAGUUACAGUAAUUAGGGUGACUAUUUUUCCUUAAAAUGUUAAGUAACAGCAUCCAAUAAACAAAUGUAAUAACAAAUGGACAUUAAUACAUAUAUAUUUUCCAGGUUCUGCUAAAUGUUCCUUGGUUUCAAUUUUCAGAUCUAAAGUAGCACUGUUGGGAUUGCUGAGAUAUUUUUUUUUUAAAAAAAAAACAUUACAUUUGUGUGUAUGUGUACGUGUUUGUAUACACACACACACACACACACACACACAUAUCCCUUAAAGAUCUAUGAUUUCAUUGAUGCAGGUAGUGCCUGCAAAAUAUAGGUGACAACUGAUUUUUCAUCAUGAUUGGGUUUUUAGAAAUGGGAAGCUUAUUCAUUCUUGAAUUAUUCACCAUUUCAGUUUCCAUGCUGAAAAUUGAAUUUUAUAUCCCAAAUCAUGUUGUUGUUUCAAAAGUGUUAUUUGUACAAGAUCUCUUCUGUUCAAAAUUGUUUGUGUGUGUGUGUAUGCAACAUUUCUGUGGGUGAGUGAAUAGUUGCAGAGACAAUAUGCACACGCAACAGUGCUUUUCAUGUAAAAUCUCUCAUAUGAUUUUGAUUGAAAAAACCACAUGCAUUUCUACAUGUGUAAAUACUAGGUGAAAACAGUGUAGAAACAUUCCUUUUUUUCCUCAUGGUGAGAAAAAUAGUGGCAAUUAUUUUGUCUUCCACUUGUGAGAACAAAGCAAUCAAAUAUUUACAUCCCUAUUGCUCAUGACUGUUGGUAGUUCCUUACCUGGUGAUCAGCAUUGAUAAUGUAAGAGUUACUGAUUAAACAGAAAUAUAGGUUGAACAUCCCUUAUCCAGAACUCCAAAAUCACAAAGUGUCCAUAUGAAUGGCUUUUAAAUAAUAAAAUGUACUUUAGAAAUAACAAAUCAUGUAUAAAUACACAUUCACAUGGAACAAUUACAAAAAGAAAUAUCAAUUUAAAAAUGGUAGAAGCAUAAAUAUGUGGCAAGGAAGCACACCUGAGGCAACAAAAUGUGUGUUGGCCAGUUCAACAGCAAGGCAACACCUGCACAUUCACAUGGAACAAUAGAAAAGAAAGAUCAGCUUUAAAAUGACAGAAGCACAAAGUUGUGGCAAGAAAGCACAAAGUGAAGAAGCAGAACUAUCAUUUUCUUCAUACUCUAUUUAUUCCAGUCUCUUUCUCUCUCUCUCUUGCUCUAUCUCCCUUUUUCAUUUCAUGAAGCCAAACAUACCAUCAAUAAAACCCACACAAAAUCAACUAACCCAAAGUCCCUCAAAGCAGACAAGAGCAAAACAGACAGCAAUCUCCCAAAGCGGAUAAGAGCAUGAGGCAUGGAGGCUGCACCCUUGAAGCCCUAAAGCCCUGUAUUCUGACGCUAACGCUCCCUCUGGCACUAGGUCUUAACUCAAAACACUGCUAGUAUGUCAAGUGAAACCUGUGCUGCGUAACAGUUCUUAAAACACUCUCAAAUUGUGAAGCUCUGAUGUUGAGGUUCCACUGUAUAUGCAAAUACAAUUAUUCCAAAAUAAUAAAAAAAACCAAAAUCCUAAACAUAUCUAAUACCAAGCAUUUCAGAUAAGGGAUACUCAACCUGUACUUAAAAAUACUUUAAGAGAUGUUGGAGUCUGCUUUUUACAGCUAAAGUGAUCUGUAUCAAAAAUGGCAUAUACUACCUUAAAAUAUUUUCAUUUGGUUAGUCACCCUAAAAUACAUGUUGCAAGUGGUUAACUUCACCUUCUUGGGAUCUAGAAGAAACUUAUUUGAAGAGUAGCUUAAUUAUUUUAAAAUUAUAUAUGUAUAGAUAAUGUCUCGCUUUGUCAACCUCCGCUUUCUAUGGUCAUAUUGCUGCUGCUUCGGUGCCAACUUUUACUGGUUAGAUCUUAAUUUUCCAUCUUAGAAUGAUCAGACAGAAUGCAGAUGUCACAAUUCUAGGUGGCCAAUCUAUGUGGUACCACAAAGAGCAAAUAAAGCUGCCUUCGAGCAAAGGCAGAACUUUCUGAACAAAGCAAACAUAAAAAUGUACUAGUACGCAGUUUGGCAUUCAUUUUAAGACAACAUGAUGUGGUUUGUGGUGCUCCUAGUUAGGGCAAUAGUCACAUGUUAACUUAAUCACUUAAAGAUGGAUUACAAAGUUUCAGGUUCUUCAGACUGAUGUUGAAGUUAUGCUGUUUUACCAUUUUAAUAAUGUGGUAUAGAACAUAUUCUUUUGAGGAUACAGCAUCAGAAGAUAGAUGGAGAUGAUUCUUCCGGGUAAUGAGCCAAACACUCAAAAAUAGAACAUGAAGAUAGAACAUAACUAGAAAAAAUGUUAGAGGGGAGAAGCUUCUUUAAAAAAGAAAGAAAGAAUUCAUAUCAAACACAUAUCAAAAACUGCAAAGAUUUCCCCUACAGAACUUUUGAGUGCUACCUGAUUUCUCCACUAUGAAAAACAUCAAAAAAUGAAAUUCAGAUAGAGCAUCCCUUAUCAGGAAUUCUGAAAUCCAAAAUACUCUCAAAUCUAUAAUUAUCCACAUAACUGGCUGAAACACUUUCUCAUGGUUCAUUGUACACAAACUUUGUUUCAUGCAAAAGCUUUUACCAAAAAUAUUAGUAAAUUAUUAAAAAUUUCAACCUACUUACCACAUCCUUGACCAUUGCUCCAUCUGCAUAUAUUUCCCACUUUUACUCAUCCCUUGCAGUACGAAAUACAAUGCACCACAUUGCAAGUCUCUAUAUUUCGAGAUCCAGUUUCAUCAUCCUAACUCCAGUACCCUCUUAGUUCCCAUAGCUGGUGACCAUAAUUUCUUUGUCUCCAUUUCCUAAUUUUACCUUGUUGCAAUCACCAUGUCAAUUUUCCAUCAAUGUCUCAUAUUUCAACACCAUAGAGAUACUCAUGCAUAGCUUAGCCUCAUGUAUAAAAUGAGAGCAGGUUUAGAGGCCAAAAUUAUGGAUUAUGAUAUGUUCUGUGAAUAGAUGAAUGGUCAUUCUGCACCAAUGAAUGCAUGGACUGCAAUUGAAUGCACGAUUGUAGCCAGGCUUUUAAAAAGACCAAAGGCAGUGCUACAAUGAGUUUUAAAAGUUCUCCUGGGUUCCCCUUCCUCUUAUAGGUCAAAUGCAUCUUCCCUCUCCUGGGAUGGACUAAGUCAAAGAUGGGAAACCAUUUUUUUUUCUUCCAAGUGCCAUUUGGAUAUUUAUAACAUCAUUUACAGGCCAUAAAAAAUUAGGGUGGGGAGAAGGGCCCCUCAAUCAUUGGGGAAGGUGAGAGGCCCGGUUGAGGGAAGCUGCAUUUGACACAUGGGAGGAGGGGCAACCUGGGUGGGCUUGGCUAGCAGUCACAGCUCUAGAAGCCCUGGCAAUUUCUCAGGCAGCAUUGCAACCCAGAUGGAGGAUGGCAGGGGAAUGUGGCCACCAGGCUUGGAGGGAGGAGCAGACAGGCGAGGAGGGCAUCUGGUCAGAUAGGCAGCUAGGAAUCUGUCUGGGCUGUGGGUCCUCCCCUGGUUGGGUCUCCUUCCAGCCUCAUCCCCAGCAGAGCUGAGAGGUGAGUGGUGGAAAGAGUGAGGCAGGCUGACUAACUGCUCCCCAGAGAAGGAGAGAGAGAAUGAGGAGGGAGGGGAGGAGAAAAAGAAGGCAGCUGCAGAUGCCAUGGAGUUCGACCAAAUGACUUUGUGGGCCUCAUGUGGUCUGUGGGCCAAACGUUCCCCAUCCCUGGACUAAGAUCCUGCCUUUCACCACUCUACUCAGAGAAAAGGAUGGUUCCUUUUAAAACAAGAGUUAAGGUAUAGUGUUUACAUUGAUCAAUGAAUAAGAUGACUUGGUUUUUUUGGGUUGAUUAUUAACAAAAAUUUCCAGAUUUAUACUUGUACACAAGUAUAUAGGAUAACUUGGAUUUCAGCCUUGGUUUGCAUUUCAUAGCUAACAUCCUUCUGAUUAAAGAUACAACCUACUUAAAGUUCAUCUACAAGCAGGUUCUAUCUUACUUCAAGUAAAACACGGGUGUGGAUUGUUUGCUUGUGUACUGGUAACUGGGACAGUGUAGCAUAAUCAAACCAACACAAAGCAUUGUCCCAGACCUAUAGGCCAUAGAAAGGAAUAAAUACAGUAUAACUUCCUUAUCCACAGAUUUGAUAUCCAUUGUAUCACUAACUCAUGCUCCAAAAAAUAUUCCCAAAGCAGAAGUGUUUGUGGGUCUCUCUAUGUUAUGUUUCUGGCCCAAGUAUAGUCAAAAUACAAAUUUGCUAUUAUUCACAGUUUUGGGUAUUUGCAAGGUGUGUAUUCGUUGGAAUGCAUCUCCUGUAGACACAGUGGUUGUACAGUACCAUGUAGCCAAACCAAUCAGAUUGCAGCAAAAGCUAGACCAUAUUUAUUUCUUUGGUAAUGAAGAAAACCAGUAAGGACAACCAAGGCAGUCUUACUUCCAUUGGCUAUCAGACCAGAUCUUGCCCCCUGAGAUUGGCACAAUUCAAUGUUGGUGUAAGGAAGGAGCAAACAGGGUCUUCAUGAAGAAGAUUCCAACAUUAUCCUCAAGUAAAAAUGCAUCAGCAACCAUAAUGACAAACCUGUCUAAUGCUUGGUGACUAGCUUGUACUAUCCAGAUUAAGAUUACCAUAUUUACAUUUUCAGAUGAACUCAAUCGAAACUAUUUCAAGCAAACACAACAGACAAGCAAUGAAGACAGUACUUCAGCAAAUGAUCACUGAAAAUACAUCUAGAUUGGAAGAAACACAAGUGAUUAUAUUAUUAAUAUUCUUAAACAAUUUCAAUUUUACAGCUGUUUUAGGCUACUGGACUCAAUUUUAUCUUUGUCCUUUUGGGAUGUGAUGAGUCAAUGCAUAACUUUGUCAAGUUGUUAUUCAGCCUUGAGUUGUCAGCAUUCGAUGAAGGGAUGAAAAGAUGGUAGCUUUCUCCUCAGGAGUUGGGGAACAGAAGAAGAAAUGAUUAAUGGCCAACAAUUAGCAAGAGGUCCAUUUACACUGCCAAAUAAUGCAGUUUCAAACUGGAUUACAUAGUCAGUGUAGACAUAUUGAACUGCAUUGUAUGAGUCUACACUGCAUUGAAUUGAAUUAUGUCAGUCUACUUUGGCCAUAUAAUGCAGUUUCAAACUGUAUUAUAUGACAGUGUUGAUGGGGCCUAUUUGUAGUAUAAAGGAGUCAACAUUUUCCUUUCAUAGAAUAAUAUUAUGAUUCUGUAUUCUCUCACAACAUAUUAAUGGUCUAUUGGUCCACCAAACCCAAUAUUGUCAGUUGUUCUGAUGGCAAUGACCAUCUUGACUUUCUGGAGUUUUUAAAAUCUAGGCUUAAUUGGAGAUACCACAAUGUUAGGAAUGUAAGCAUGUGUUCCACUAUACUAUAUAAAGGUCACAAGUGUUUAUCAUAUAAUAUUUUGAAGUAAGUGGCCAAUGCUCUACUUUUCAUUUCUCAUAUACUUUAUUUGACACCAGAAGUAUUUUACAAGUGGUACUAUGUUAAAUUAGUUUAUCUGGUCUGUUUUUCAUCUCAGAUGCCAGCAAUCUCAAUUUCUACUUCUAAUUCUACUGUAAUUAGUCAAGUUGAUAAAUUACAUCUCCCAACCAUUCCCACCCACACACUUGAAUUGGAAGUUUUGAAGUGUAAGUUCUUUAUUUUUCAUCUUGAAUAAUCUUGGCCUAGUUUGUAAACCAUGACAUACUGACAGGUGCUAGGGCUUUGCUUUCUUUACCUUAAUUCCCACUGUUAGUGAAUGAAAUCACACAAAUUAUAAUGGAUGGUUUUUAAAAAAGCUGAAGGCCCAUUAAAUGAUUUAUUGCAUUUCGAUUUAGCCUGAUACUUUUCAGUCUUUAAAAUUUCCUGUUCAGAGAGUAACCAAGGCCCAGAUAUCUCCAUAGUAAGAUAAAGUUACUUCAUUUUAAGAGAAUAUUCAUGCAUCAAAACUGUACUUUUUAGCUGUACUUUGUUUUUAAUUGGAUGCAAGAUGCUUUGAGUCCACAUUGGAAAAAAGGUGAGAUACUAUGGACGCUUCCAGACAGCACCAAAAUCUGUGCUAAAGCAGGUUAAAAAAUCUACUUUGGUGUGGAUUUCCAUCCUUACUCCCCACAAAAAAACAGGACUUUCUCAGGAGGGGGAUGGCUACAUGCCAUCCCGAUUAAAAUCGGGAUAUAUGCAGCCACUCCAAAGCCUCCCAAUUUAUCCCUAAAAUUAAGUUAAACAUACCUGGCCAUCAUAACUUUCCUCCUUGCACCCUCCUGGUGUGAGGAAGUGAUGUGCCAGGAAAGAGGUGAGAAGAAAGGUUAUGGUGGCCAGAAUCUAAUGGGGUAUCAAAUUAAGUCAGAACAAACCAAACCCUGGUUUGUUCUAAAUUAAUUCAGUUUUACAGGAGGUGUCAUUUGGACAUCUAAAGUAAAACCAAGACAGGUCCCGGGUUAUGGGCCUGUCUGGAUGGGCCCUCAGUAUGCACUUUGAAGUCAGUUUGCACCAGUGGAAGUAAGCUGAGAACAAAGGAGGAAGUGGGUGGAGGUGAGAGAAUGUGGGGCAUUUCAAAUACAGUUGAAAAGGUGUUUGGUUUAUCCCUACUAAACUGGGACAGCAGAAGGGUACUCAGGAAGCAAUACGCACCAUAUUGUACUAAUCACCCUGAGUCCCCUCGGAUGAGAAAGGUGGGGUAAAAAUGUUGUAAAUAAAAUAAAUAAAUAAUGGUUACUUUGUAAAUUUCUCUUUUGUGUCUUUGGAAUACUGCUUUUUAAAAAUCCUACUAACUUAAUUGUUCAUAGCAAUCUCAAAUCUCAGGAUCAGAUUUGCAUGAACAAAUCUGAUGGAUUGCCUCCUUUCUUAGCUGUCAAGGGGCAUGUAUCUUGAAAGGAGGUCACCAGUGAAGUCAGAUUUUCUCCUUUAAUUAUUACCUAAGAUACUGGAUUAUGAACAAGUCACUGUGACCAAUCUGAAUGUAAAUGGGAGAAUAGAUAAUGCUGAUAGGUUUUAGAGAUGUUUCAAAUUGCAUUCCAGAUUUCAUUAUCUGAACCAGCAUGUCAGCACAAAAGCUAUACUUAACAUGAUCCUCUUCAAUGAGGAAAAGGAUUGAAAUAAAUUCUUGUCUUUGUUAAGAAUAAGAGCCCUGCUAAGAUUUGUGCACCGCACAGAAGUCAUGCGGGCACAUUAGUCGUUAUGGUCCAUGAUAAUUAAAAUUUGCAGGUAUAAAAUAAGUCAUAAAUAACUUACUGGAAUAAAAUUAGCCUUUUCUCCUCUUAGUGCUUUAGUAGUCAUCUUGGAGUGACCUCUGCUAGUAAGAAAAGAGCAGAUACAGCCAUAAUAGCUAUUAGAUUACCAAAAGUAUAACCAGAUGAUACUAUCAUUCUCCGCAUGGCUCUCAUGCUUAAUUAUUCAAGAUGGUUUGAGGAAAUUCAGUAGUGUAAACUUGUAGCUUUCUAGCUUCAGAACUGAUAUCUUCAUGCUCAUCUGCAAGGAUGGAUUUUUUUUAUCCUGCUGUUGUAGAAAAGGAGGCUGAAUGUGUGUGUGUGUGUGUGUGUGUGUGUGUUUGUGUGAAAUUUUUUUUCCCUGCAGAAAUGGUUGGGCAUUUGUGUCCAAUCUACAAUGGCCAAAUUAGCAAUAUAUAGUUCAAGAUUGUGAAAGUGGAAUUGUAAAUCAUAGCCAAAGAGAAAUAUGUAGCCUUAGAAAAAUGUACAGUUUGAGGUUUUGAUUUUUUUACCCAUAGAGAGCUAUUAUUGGAAAACCAAUAUUUAGUUAUUCAGUUGUUUUUGAAAAGUGUAUAUAUUUAUGCUAAUUUUAUUGCAACUGUGGAAUAUCUUGGUGUAAUAGGCUCAAAUGAAAAGAGCUUGGCUAUCCAGCAUCUUGUUUCCUAGAUAAGCCAACUUUAGGAAACCCACAAACAAGACUUUAGGGUAAUAUGCAUCUGUUGUUGCUUCCCAGUAACUGGUAUUCAGAAACACUUUGCUUCCAUUUUACUAAAGCCAAGAGUCUUAUUUUUAUAGAACACAGUCCUGUAUUCCAAGAGCUGUAAAAGGAUAGUCCUGUAUUAGAAAUUGCCCUCUAUUUGUCUAAUCCAAUUCCAGUUAAACUCAAAGGAUUUAGAAGGAUAUAUGAGGUGACUUUGGGUCUUCUCUUAGCAUUGAUAUCCGAUCACUUACCACAUUAUCACACUAGGGCUUUAAAGCGGGCAGUGGACAUUUCCCAGAAUUCUGCAGGUGGCAGAAAUGCAGGGCUGCCUGCUUUAAAGCCCUGGUGUGAUAACGUCUUUUAGUUACACUUUUUUGUCAUUAUGGUAAGGCACAUUUUAUAUCUGUUUCAAUUAUGCUAUCAUCUUCAUGUAGUAAUGUAGUAGUGAAGUGUUGGACUAGGAACUCUGGAAACAUGGUAGGCCAUGGAAACCCCACUAGCCAUGUCACAUUCGCUCACUCUAAGGGUAAGGCACUGACAAAUGACUCAUGAAUAAAUCUUCUACAACUUGAUUCUCUGGUAUGCUUCCACUGGAAGUCAUUCACUUCAAGAGACUUCAGUAUGAUCUGUGGUUUCACACAUCCAAGGUAAGUGUAGAAAUGUACCCCCUGUGGAUACAGAGGUCAUUGUCUAUGUACAGCCUAGGGGAACACAUGCAGUGUCUGGAUCAGAUAACUCGUAAUAGAAGUGGUAUGGUGGAGUUUUCUCAAUUCCUCUCCCAUGUGUAUUAGGCCACUAGCUAACAGGCUUCUCAAAUGAAAGCAGCAAAACUUUUGCCCCAUAUAGCUGGAAAGUAUGUGCAAAUAGCUGUCAAGGGCACUAUGAAGGUAAGGUGAAAAUGGAGAUCACUGUAGAACUAUACCAUUAAUUCUGAAUGAGAAAAAGAAUAUAAAGUUGGAAAGCGGUUUUAAAAAAUCAUAUUACUGAAGGAAGAAAAUAGUAGAACAAGUGCCCAAAGUUUCUUUCUCUCCUGAUUCUUCUUUUCCUGUUUUGAAGAUCAAGUGGAAGGCUCCAAAAUUUGUGUAAGGUUACACAUAUUGGCAUCAAUCUGACUUUUCCCUUCCAGGAAUUUCUCAGCAUCUACACACAGAAUGUCAACCAUGAGAAUCCUAUUUUUGUUCUCCUCCUAGUCUCCAACUUCGUUUUCCUUUGGUCUCCAUUUGAAUGCCAAAGAGAACAAGCACCUCAUUCUGAUGUGGUUGGAAACAGAUUACAUAUGAUUCUCAAACACCAAAGGGUAACAAGAAAUAGUGCACACCUGGAAGCCAAGCAUUUAUGUAUACUUGGAGGGAAAACUCACAGAAGGCCUGAUCCUUGCAGCCCUGGAGCAAGCCAUCAGAACAAAGGCAAUUAAGGCCAAGAUCGAAAAAUCAGCUGAUGACCCAAAAUGCAGACUGUGCAAGGAAACCGACGAAACCAUUGAUCAUAUCCUCAGCUGCUGUAAGAAAAUUUCACAGAAAGACUACAAACAGAGGCACAACUAUGUGGCCCAAAUGAUUCAUUGGAACGUAUGCCUCAAGUACCACCUCACAGCAGUAAAGAACUGGUGGGAUCACAAACCUGCAAAAGUAUUGGAAAAUGAACACACAAAAAUACUGUGGGACUUCCGAAUCCAGACUAACAAAGUUCUGGAACACCAGAUAUCACAGUUGUGGAAAAGAAAAAGUUUUGGAUCAGUGAUGUUGCCAUCCCAGGGGACAGUCACAUUGACGAAAAACAACAGGAAAAACUCAGCCGCUAUCAGGACCUCAAGAUUGAACUUCAAAGACUCUGGCAGAAACCAGUGCAGGUGGUCCCGGUGGGUGCCGUGCCAAAAGAUCUCAGCCAGCAUUUGGAAACAAUAGACAUUGACAAAAUUACGAUCUGCCAACUGCAAAAGGCCACCCUACUGGGAUCUGUGCGCAUCAUCCGAAAAUACAUCACACAGUCCUAGACACUUGGGAAGUGUUUGACUUGAGAUUUUGUGAUACAAAAUCCAGCAUAUCUAUCUUGUUUGUUGUGUCAUACUAUGUUGUUGUGUCAAUAAUAAUAAUAAUAAUAAUAAUAAUAAUAAUAAUAAUUUUAUUUCUUACCUACUUCUCCUCAUGGCUAGAGGUGGGUUACACUAUUGCUCAAACACACUAUCAUCUAAAAGCAUUCUGUAAAAGACACAUAUUAAAACAUAUUUCUACAAAGUGCAUAUUAAAAUACACAGAACAAAGAUUAAACAUAAGGUGCAAGUUUAAAAUUUGUGAUUAAAACUGGCUGAGUAGGCCUGCCAGAAGAGAUAGAUCUUCAAAUGUGUGUAAAUUCCAAUAGCUGGUCUAGCUGUCAGAGUUCUUCUGGCAGGGUUGUUGUAUGUUUUCCAGGCUGUAUGGCCAUGUUCCAGAAGUAUUUUCUCCUUACGUUUCACCCAUA
Long non-coding RNA from Anolis carolinensis (green anole), 23232 nucleotides. RefSeq lists it as uncharacterized. The record is from RefSeq and is a predicted model, not a curated record. NCBI's taxonomy places the organism in Eukaryota, Metazoa, Chordata, Lepidosauria, Squamata, Anolidae. The transcript has 3 exons.